GCAGACGUAGCUCAGAUGGAGAUGAGCCACCGGUUUAAUUGGAUCGGGAGUAAGGGUCGCAGGUUCGAAUCCUGCCGUCUGCG
This 83-nucleotide transfer RNA is filed under the name Siphoviridae sp. ct5co22. Its description in RNAcentral is "tRNA-Leu". It matches the Rfam family "tRNA". From Rfam's summary of the family: Transfer RNA (tRNA) molecules are approximately 80 nucleotides in length. Their secondary structure includes four short double-helical elements and three loops (D, anti-codon, and T loops). Lineage: Duplodnaviria; Heunggongvirae; Uroviricota; Caudoviricetes. The record is from RNAcentral.